AACCAGUACCGUGAGGGAAAGGCGAAAAGCACCCCGGAAGGGGAGUGAAACAGUUCCUGAAACCGUGUGCCUACAAGUAGUUAGAGCCCGUUAAUGGGUGAUAGCGUGCCUUUUGUAGAAUGAACCGGCGAGUUACGAUUUGUUGCAAGGUUAAGCGGAAAAAGCGGAGCCGUAGCGAAAGCGAGUCUGAAUAGGGCGCAUAAGUAACAGGUCGUAGACCCGAAACCAGGUGAUCUACCCAUGUCCAGGAUGAAGGUAAGGUAAUACUUACUGGAGGUCC
Molecule: ribosomal RNA, 280 nt
Filed under: Vibrio parahaemolyticus
Lineage: Bacteria; Pseudomonadati; Pseudomonadota; Gammaproteobacteria; Vibrionales; Vibrionaceae
Description: partial 23S ribosomal RNA
Rfam family: Bacterial large subunit ribosomal RNA
Source: RNAcentral